CGCGUAGGAAACUACCCAGUAGUGGGGACGAACAGUUGGAACGGAACUGCUAAUACCGCAUACGCUCUACGGAGGAAAGGGGGCGUUCGGCGUCUCGCUAUUGGAUGUGCCUGCGUGAGAUUAGCUAGUUGGUGGGGUAAAGGGCCGUACCAACGGCAACGAUCUCUAGCUGGUCUGAGAGGAUGAUCAGCCACACUGGGACUGAGACACGGCCCAGACUCCUACGGGAGGCAGCAGUGGGGAUAUUGGACAAUGGGCGCAAGCCUGAUCCAGCCAUGCCGCGUGUGUGAAAGAAGGCUU
RNAcentral lists this ribosomal RNA (300 nucleotides) under uncultured Thalassolituus sp. Its description in RNAcentral is "bacterial SSU rRNA". It matches the Rfam family "Bacterial small subunit ribosomal RNA", at positions 114 to 418 of the family's 1533-position model. Lineage: Bacteria; Pseudomonadati; Pseudomonadota; Gammaproteobacteria; Oceanospirillales; Oceanospirillaceae. The record is from RNAcentral.